GCUCAGAAACUUAAAGGAAUUGACGGGGACCCGCACAAGCAGCGGAGCAUGUGGUUUAAUUCGAAGCAACGCGAAGAACCUUACCAGAUCUUGACAUCCAAUUGACCAUCUUUUAAUCGAGAUUUUGCCUUCGGGUACAAUUGAGACAGGUGGUGCAUGGUUGUCGUCAGCUCGUGUCGUGAGAUGUUGGGUUAAGUCCCGCAACGAGCGCAACCCCUACCUUUAGUUGCCAUCAGGUAAUGCUGGGGACUCUAAAGGAACUGCCUACGCAAGUAGUGAGGAAGGCGGGGAUGACGUCAAAUCAGCACGGCCCUUACGUCCAGGGCUACACACGUGCUACAAUGGCCGAUACAGAGGGCAGCUACCUGGUGACAGGAUGCAAAUCUCCAAAGUCGGUCUCAGUUCGGAUCGGAGUCUGCAACCCGACUCCGUGAAGUUGGAUUCGCUAGUAAUCGCGCAUCAGCCAUGGCGCGGUGAAUACGUUCCCGGGCCUU
This 494-nucleotide ribosomal RNA is filed under the name uncultured Anaerolineaceae bacterium. RNAcentral's name for it is "bacterial SSU rRNA". It matches the Rfam family "Bacterial small subunit ribosomal RNA", at positions 891 to 1382 of the family's 1533-position model. Lineage: Bacteria; Bacillati; Chloroflexota; Anaerolineae; Anaerolineales; Anaerolineaceae. The record is from RNAcentral.